Pan troglodytes (chimpanzee) is the source of this 584-nucleotide long non-coding RNA. RefSeq lists it as uncharacterized. The record is from RefSeq and is a predicted model, not a curated record. Lineage: Eukaryota; Metazoa; Chordata; Mammalia; Primates; Hominidae. The transcript is spliced from 3 exons.
AGUUAACUUCAACUCCUAGUAAUGGAACACAAGGAUAGAGGACCAAAACCAGUGGAGCCAGCUCACCUUGUUCUUCCCUCGCCUUUGGAUGUUACAAGAAUUUGAUGUAUGAACAAUUCACCUGAGAUGUGAAGAACGACAUUAUUUGAUUAUUCAGAGGAGUUCAAGGAGUAUGUUUUCACCUGAGCUGUUGUGUAUUAAAAUUGCAAAUGAAGGCCUGGCACGGAGACUUAUGCUUGUAAUCUCAGCACUUUGGGAGGCCAAGGUAAGAGGAUUGCUUGAGCUCAGGAGUGAGACCAGCUGUGAUGCAUAGCAAGACCCUGUCCCUAUUUUAUUUUUCAAAUUUCAAAUGAACUCAGUUUGUUCUAUUCUGAUCCUCUUUUUUGCAGAAGACAUGAGUAAAGAGGUCAUUGACAGAGAAGGAUAUUUCCGAGAGGGGAAGUUUGACUUUCUGACAAUGUUUCCUGUACAUAAACUAUUGAUGUCAGCAUCUUCACAUGAAGACAUAUCAGUAAGGGCCAGGAGACGUUUAGCAAUACACUUACACAGUUAAUAAGACAAAUCUAGUAAAAAAAAAAAAAAAA